AUAAAACUCAAGGUUAGUGAGACUUUUCCUCUUCUAGUAUAUUUCUACAAAAUAUGAAUGCACAAAAUCCCCUAAACAUUAUUUGUUUUCAUAAGUUAGAAAUAAAAUCUGCAUAUUGAGAUGGUCUUUUGGCGGCGCCAAAACAGUUUAAGCACGAAUCUGUGACUGAGGUGAGUUCCAGCCGCUGUUGUGCUUAUUUUACCUGUCCCACGAACACAACAGCUGCCUGGCCAACAUUCAGCGACUCAGAGACACAUUACCAAAUGACUGCUGCGAGGGGAGGCUUGGCUAGCUGACUAACUGAAAUAAGCCUCAAGAUCAAUGCAAACCGCAAGACCUUACACCAUAUAUAAUACAAUGAAGGAUAUUAUUGUUACUACUGUUCAUCCAAGCCAGCAUCACCACCACCACCACCACCACCACCACUUCAAGCUUCGUUAAAGCACUCAUCCAGGUGGAGGUAGAACCAGUGGGACGAUGGUUCCACAUAUAUGAGGCACGGCGUCUGCGGGGCCACCUCACCUCCUCAGUUGGGGAAAGUGAAGAGGAGAGUGAGGAGGAGGAGGCUCAGGAGGUGGAGGUGGAGGAUGACAUACACUAUCUUCGCUCUCUCAACCCAGCAGACUGGAAGGACCAGGAUCAUUAUGCAGUACUGGGACUCCGAAAGCACAGGUACAAGGCCUCUGAUGAUGACAUCAAAAGAGCGUGUAAGUCCUGGUGGCAUCUGGAGCUAGAGUGUAUAGUGUACUGAGUACCAAGUUUUAGUGCACCUGCUGUUUGAAGGUAUUUUUAUAGUGCCAGUUUUCAGUUGCAGUGUCAGCCCUUUUAGUCUUGGUAUUUUUAUUUUAUUUGUAUAUUUUCAAUAACUACAUUUUAUUUGUGCCUUG
Long non-coding RNA from Scylla paramamosain (green mud crab), 887 nucleotides. RefSeq lists it as uncharacterized. Lineage: Eukaryota; Metazoa; Arthropoda; Malacostraca; Decapoda; Portunidae. The record is from RefSeq and is a predicted model, not a curated record. The transcript has 4 exons.